This 316-nucleotide long non-coding RNA is filed under the name Arachis ipaensis. RNAcentral's name for it is "long non-coding RNA (AIPA_LNC000973)". The record is from RNAcentral. Lineage: Eukaryota; Viridiplantae; Streptophyta; Magnoliopsida; Fabales; Fabaceae.
GGCUCCCAAAUACACACUUGCAGUGUUGCUACUUGCAUUGGUGUUUGCAGCAGUCUCCAUUGCUGAUGAAUACCCUAAACCUAUUCACGACAAGCCUCCAUUCCAAAAGCCACCCUAUGAGAAGCCUCCAUACCAUAAGCCACCAUUCGAGAAACCACCACACGACAAGCCACCCUAUGAGAAGCCACCACAUGAGAAGCCACCAUAUGAAAAACCACCACACGAGAAGCCACCAUAUGGAAAGCCACCCCAUCAGGAGGAGCAAGUAGAGAAGGUUGAGGUUAAUGGCUACUACAAGCCACCACAACACCAUGAG